AUUGAACGCUGGCGGCAGGCCUAACACAUGCAAGUCGAGCGGAGCGGCGGUCGGGUGCGUAAUGCCUAGGAAUCUGCAUGGUCGUGGGGGAUAACGUCCGGAAACGGGCGCUAAUACUGCAUACUCUCAGAUGAGCCUAGGUCGGAUUAGCUAGUUGGUGGGGUAAAGGCCUACCAAGGCGACGAUCCGGAACUGGUCUGAGAGGAUGAUCAGUCAAACUGGAACUGAGACACGGUCCAGACUCCUACGGGAGGCAGCAGUGGGGAAUAUUGGACAAUGGGCGAAAGCCUGAUCCAGUCAUGCCGCGUGUAUGAAGAAGGUCUUCGGAUUGUAAAGCACUUUAAGUUGGGAGGCGUUACCAACAGAAUAAGCACCGGCUAACUUCGUGCCAGCAGCCGCGGUAAUAC
RNAcentral lists this ribosomal RNA (407 nucleotides) under uncultured bacterium. RNAcentral's name for it is "partial 16S ribosomal RNA". It matches the Rfam family "Bacterial small subunit ribosomal RNA", at positions 30 to 526 of the family's 1533-position model. The record is from RNAcentral.